This 429-nucleotide ribosomal RNA is filed under the name Chloroflexota bacterium. Its description in RNAcentral is "Chloroflexi bacterium partial 16S ribosomal RNA". It matches the Rfam family "Bacterial small subunit ribosomal RNA", at positions 355 to 776 of the family's 1533-position model. The record is from RNAcentral. Lineage: Bacteria; Bacillati; Chloroflexota.
UGGGGAAUAUUGCACAAUGGGCGCAAGCCUGAUGCAGCCAUGCCGCGUGUGUGAAGAAGGCCUUCGGGUUGUAAAGCACUUUCAGCGGGGAGGAAGGCGAUAAGGUUAAUAACCUUGUCGAUUGACGUUACCCGCAGAAGAAGCACCGGCUAACUCCGUGCCAGCAGCCGCGGUAAUACGGAGGGUGCAAGCGUUAAUCGGAAUUACUGGGCGUAAAGCGCACGCAGGCGGUCUGUCAAGUCGGAUGUGAAAUCCCCGGGCUCAACCUGGGAACUGCAUUCGAAACUGGCAGGCUAGAGUCAUGUAGAGGGGGGUAGAAUUCAAGGUGUAGCGGUGAAAUGCGUAGGGAUCUGGAGGAAUACCGGUGGCGAAGGCGGCCCCCUGGACAAAGACUGACGCUCAGGUGCGAAAGCGUGGGGAGCAAACAGG